GCUCAACUCAAUCAGAGACGUCAAAGGUUCACGGUGAAAGCUGUAGGAACAAGUCUUCCGCUUCAACUCUGGGACUGUUGCCAUCUCUAUCAGUGAACAAGCUCUGGAAUGUACCUGAGAAAUGAUAUGCAUGCAGGGAUUAGUUUUUUUUUCUUUUUUUUUUCUUUUUUUUUUUGUAUCUCUUUUUUUUUAUUGCGUUUCUUUUGAAAAAUAAAUAUGCUAUGAUGCAAAUGAUGCAGACACGACUGGUUGGCUGUGUCUCUCAGAACACAGGAUCAAAACUUCGGCUUGAACUCGGAACCACAAAUUCAUCUGAAACCCAAAGUCAUCUGAGACCCCAAAAUUCUGAACCAAUAGUCACCAACAGGAUCACAAGUCACCAACAAGUCACCAACAAGUCACCAACUGUACCUGUAAUAAUGAUCAUUCCCUCCCCACUCACGGGUGUCAUCUAGGCCAGGGUAAGGUCGAGAGAAACGCAGCAUAAAUAACCUUUCGCAGAACAUCAUCAUAUACACACCCGAAGUAUGUAACGAUAAUAUCCCACCAGGGUCUGAACUGCUCGUGAUAUCAAUGUUCCGCUAAGU
This 587-nucleotide long non-coding RNA is filed under the name Lathyrus oleraceus (garden pea). Its description in RNAcentral is "Pisum sativum (pea) long non-coding RNA (PSAT_LNC036706)". Lineage: Eukaryota; Viridiplantae; Streptophyta; Magnoliopsida; Fabales; Fabaceae. The record is from RNAcentral.